UUAAGCGACUAAGCGUACACGGUGGAUGCCCUGGCAGUCAGAGGCGAUGAAGGACGUGCUAAUCUGCGAUAAGCGUCGGUGAGGUGAUAUGAACCGUUAUAACCGGCGAUUUCCGAAUGGGGAAACCCAGUGUGUUUCGACACACUAUCAUUAACUGAAUCCAUAGGUUAAUGAGGCGAACCGGGGGAACUGAAACAUCUAAGUACCCCGAGGAAAAGAAAUCAACCGAGAUUCCCCCAGUAGCGGCGAGCGAACGGGGAGGAGCCCAGAGCCUGAAUCAGUGUGUGUGUUAGUGGAAGCGUCUGGAAAGGCGCGCGAUACAGGGUGACAGCCCCGUACACAAAAAUGCACAUACUGUGAGCUCGAUGAGUAGGGCGGGACACGUGGUAUCCUGUCUGAAUAUGGGGGGACCAUCCUCCAAGGCUAAAUACUCCUGACUGACCGAUAGUGAACCAGUACCGUGAGGGAAAGGCGAAAAGAACCCCGGCGAGGGGAGUGAAAAAGAACCUGAAACCGUGUACGUACAAGCAGUGGGAGCCUCUUAAUGGGGUGACUGCGUACCUUUUUGUAUAAUGGGUCAGCGACUUAUAUUCUGUAGCAAGGUUAACCGAAUAGGGGAGCCGAAGGGAAACCGAGUCUUAACUGGGCGUUAAGUUGCAGGGUAUAGACCCGAAACCCGGUGAUCUAGCCAUGGGCAGGUUGAAGGUUGGGUAACACUAACUGGAGGACCGAACCGACUAAUGUUGAAAAAUUAGCGGAUGACUUGUGGCUGGGGGUGAAAGGCCAAUCAAACCGGGAGAUAGCUGGUUCUCCCCGAAAGCUAUUUAGGUAGCGCCUCGUGAAUUCAUCUCCGGGGGUAGAGCACUGUUUCGGCAAGGGGGUCAUCCCGACUUACCAACCCGAUGCAAACUGCGAAUACCGGAGAAUGUUAUCACGGGAGACACACGGCGGGUGCUAACGUCCGUCGUGAAGAGGGAAACAACCCAGACCGCCAGCUAAGGUCCCAAAGUCAUGGUUAAGUGGGAAACGAUGUGGGAAGGCCCAGACAGCCAGGAUGUUGGCUUAGAAGCAGCCAUCAUUUAAAGAAAGCGUAAUAGCUCACUGGUCGAGUCGGCCUGCGCGGAAGAUGUAACGGGGCUAAACCAUGCACCGAAGCUGCGGCAGCGACACUAUGUGUUGUUGGGUAGGGGAGCGUUCUGUAAGCCUGUGAAGGUGGCCUGUGAGGGUUGCUGGAGGUAUCAGAAGUGCGAAUGCUGACAUAAGUAACGAUAAAGCGGGUGAAAAGCCCGCUCGCCGGAAGACCAAGGGUUCCUGUCCAACGUUAAUCGGGGCAGGGUGAGUCGACCCCUAAGGCGAGGCCGAAAGGCGUAGUCGAUGGGAAACAGGUUAAUAUUCCUGUACUUGGUGUUACUGCGAAGGGGGGACGGAGAAGGCUAUGUUGGCCGGGCGACGGUUGUCCCGGUUUAAGCGUGUAGGCUGGUUUUCCAGGCAAAUCCGGAAAAUCAAGGCUGAGGCGUGAUGACGAGGCACUACGGUGCUGAAGCGACAAAUGCCCUGCUUCCAGGAAAAGCCUCUAAGCAUCAGGUAACAUCAAAUCGUACCCCAAACCGACACAGGUGGUCAGGUAGAGAAUACCAAGGCGCUUGAGAGAACUCGGGUGAAGGAACUAGGCAAAAUGGUGCCGUAACUUCGGGAGAAGGCACGCUGAUAUGUAGGUGAAGCGACUUGCUCGUGGAGCUGAAAUCAGUCGAAGAUACCAGCUGGCUGCAACUGUUUAUUAAAAACACAGCACUGUGCAAACACGAAAGUGGACGUAUACGGUGUGACGCCUGCCCGGUGCCGGAAGGUUAAUUGAUGGGGUUAGCGGUAACGCGAAGCUCUUGAUCGAAGCCCCGGUAAACGGCGGCCGUAACUAUAACGGUCCUAAGGUAGCGAAAUUCCUUGUCGGGUAAGUUCCGACCUGCACGAAUGGCGUAAUGAUGGCCAGGCUGUCUCCACCCGAGACUCAGUGAAAUUGAACUCGCUGUGAAGAUGCAGUGUACCCGCGGCAAGACGGAAAGACCCCGUGAACCUUUACUAUAGCUUGACACUGAACAUUGAGCCUUGAUGUGUAGGAUAGGUGGGAGGCUUUGAAGUGUGGACGCCAGUCUGCAUGGAGCCGGCCUUGAAAUACCACCCUUUAAUGUUUGAUGUUCUAACGUGGGCCCCUUACCGGGGUUGCGGACAGUGUCUGGUGGGUAGUUUGACUGGGGCGGUCUCCUCCUAAAGAGUAACGGAGGAGCACGAAGGUUGGCUAAUCCUGGUCGGACAUCAGGAGGUUAGUGCAAUGGCAUAAGCCAGCUUGACUGCGAGCGUGACGGCGCGAGCAGGUGCGAAAGCAGGUCAUAGUGAUCCGGUGGUUCUGAAUGGAAGGGCCAUCGCUCAACGGAUAAAAGGUACUCCGGGGAUAACAGGCUGAUACCGCCCAAGAGUUCAUAUCGACGGCGGUGUUUGGCACCUCGAUGUCGGCUCAUCACAUCCUGGGGCUGAAGUAGGUCCCAAGGGUAUGGCUGUUCGCCAUUUAAAGUGGUACGCGAGCUGGGUUUAGAACGUCGUGAGACAGUUCGGUCCCUAUCUGCCGUGGGCGCUGGAGAACUGAGGGGGGCUGCUCCUAGUACGAGAGGACCGGAGUGGACGCAUCACUGGUGUUCGGGUUGUCAUGCCAAUGGCACUGCCCGGUAGCUAAAUGCGGAAGAGAUAAGUGCUGAAAGCAUCUAAGCACGAAACUUGCCCCGAGAUGAGUUCUCCCUGACCCUUUAAGGGUCCUGAAGGAACGUUGAAGACGACGACGUUGAUAGGCCGGGUGUGUAAGCGCAGCGAUGCGUUGAGCUAACCGGUACUAAUGAACCGUGAGGCUUAACCUU
This 2903-nucleotide ribosomal RNA is filed under the name Escherichia coli DEC2E. Its description in RNAcentral is "bacterial LSU rRNA". It matches the Rfam family "Bacterial large subunit ribosomal RNA". The record is from RNAcentral. Lineage: Bacteria; Pseudomonadati; Pseudomonadota; Gammaproteobacteria; Enterobacterales; Enterobacteriaceae.